UAACCUGCCCAAGAGAUCGGGAUAACACCUGGAAACAGAUGCUAAUACCGGAUAACAACAGAUGAUGCCUAUCAACUGUUUAAAAGAUGGUUCUGCUAUCACUCUUGGAUUGGACCUGCGGUGCAUUAGCUAGUUGGUAGGGUAACGGCCUACCAAGGCGAUGAUGCAUAGCCGAGUUGAGAGACUGAUCGGCCACAUUGGGACUGAGACACGGCCCAAACUCCUACGGGAGGCAGCAGGC
This 241-nucleotide ribosomal RNA is filed under the name uncultured Lactobacillus sp. RNAcentral's name for it is "partial 16S ribosomal RNA". It matches the Rfam family "Bacterial small subunit ribosomal RNA", at positions 122 to 354 of the family's 1533-position model. Lineage: Bacteria; Bacillati; Bacillota; Bacilli; Lactobacillales; Lactobacillaceae. The record is from RNAcentral.